GAAAAGUGAUGCACACAUGCUUAUACUUUGCCAUUUUGUGGUUGCAGAGCAAAGGAAAGAUUCCUUUCUCAUAUCGAGGUUUGUGACACUACGUAAUCCAACACCAGAAAUGAGUGGUACAAUUGGCUUCUGAGAACACAUGAAAUUAUGUGGUUGAAAUAGUAAGGAUGCAGAUGUUGCUGGCAUGGUUACAAUUUAUUGCUUCAUCUCUUAGCUGCCCCUUUAAACGUCAUGUAAGGUCUAGAGUGACAUGCAGGCCAGACAAGGACUUUGUCCCUGCCAAUAUCUCUCAGUCCAAGAUAUCUUCGUGAUCUGCUGAACAAUCAGUUGAGCCGACCAGAGUGGAUCCAACAAUGAUGCACGUGGGUGGAAACAAUGUAGGAAGCAAACAAAGUUCUGUGCCAUCACAAAACAACCUAUCCAAGACGAGAAUGGAAUUAGUAGAAAUGUGUUGCAGUGAAUACAUUCCAUAUGAAGCAGUACACAAAACCUCUGGGGUGUUGGACCACCCAGAGGUGAACACAUUUAAGGAAUUUAGCCUGUGAUCAAUUUUGUCCCUUCCAGACCAUAACUGACAGCAGGAAUAUUUAUUUCAGCUGCUGUAAAUUAAAGGAAAUCUUAAAACAUGCCCCCAAUAUCCACUUCUACAGCACAACACGGAGAUAAUGGGGAGAAAGGAAAAGUGCAUAACACUUAGAAGUAAGUUUCACAUGCUCAUCUAACCAGACCUUCUCUUUAAAACAAAGCAACGCAAGCUGCCACCGCAACCAACUCACCCGAUAAGUAUCUUUACAACCCAAAAAGAGAGGGCAAAAUAAAAAUUCCAAUUUAACCCAUAAUGAUUACCAAAAUUACUGGGAAAACCAUAAAUAUGUCAGUUUUAAUCAUGUUAAUGAAAGAAGCUGCAUCUCUGGAUCUGUCGCUACAAUCUAUUUUUAGUUCCACAGUGAUAUCUCUGAUAACACCCUGUUGGUAUUAAAACUCAAACAAUGCUUGGAAACAUUGAGAUGGAAUGUAAAAUCAUAUAAUUGCUGGUCUGCUUCAUUUCUCUUGUGUGUGCAUCAGAUUUGCUGUCAAAAAAGGAAGGCAGGCUUAACAAUUGCAAUUAUUUUCCUAAUUAACGUUAAUAGUUCAGUUAUUUUUAUUGGACAAUAUCCCAAAUAAUUUCGUGCUUUAAGGUAUCUGUGAUGUGUAUUGGAAUAAAAAAUUUGAUGCAUAAAACUUCUGCAAAUGGAAGUGGAUAUACUGCUAAUAUGUCAUCAGCUGUCUCGGUUUAUAACGUGGACAUUUCAACCGUAUGACUGACGGUGUUCCUGAUACUGAGUAAUAACAGCACAGUCCUCAUUAUAUAAUCCAGAUUAAUUAUUGUUAAGCAUGACAAGGUUGUAGGCAACCUGUCUUGCUGAAUGCAACCAGUAUAUCAAGUGUAUAGUUUGGGCCAAAGCAAGUCAGGGCUGGAAAAAUAAAGCUAUUUUUGGAUUUGUCAUGCUGGGGACUAAGAAGUGUAGGUGGCUCUUGGAAAAUUGACUCCCCAGGCCAUUUUAAAAGGCCAGUACUGAAAUGAAAUAAAGUAGAUCUACGUAAUUAUAAGUACAUGUGUGUUCCAAGUAAUUAAAGUACAAGUUUGCAUGGCGACCCUCCUUGACGUCUCAGGGUAAAUAAAAACGUACACAAAAA
Long non-coding RNA from Amblyraja radiata (thorny skate), 1677 nucleotides. RefSeq lists it as uncharacterized. Lineage: Eukaryota; Metazoa; Chordata; Chondrichthyes; Rajiformes; Rajidae. The record is from RefSeq and is a predicted model, not a curated record. The transcript has 3 exons.